AGAGUUUGAUCAUGGCUCAGAUUGAACGCUGGCGGAAUGCUUUACACAUGCAAGUCGAACGGCAGCACGGGGGCAACCCUGGUGGCGAGUGGCGAACGGGUGAGUAAUACAUCGGAACGUGCCCAAUCGUGGGGGAUAACGUAGCGAAAGCUACGCUAAUACCGCAUACGAUCUACGGAUGAAAGCGGGGGAUCGCAAGACCUCGCGCGAAUGGAGCGGCCGAUGGCAGAUUAGGUAGUUGGUGGGGUAAAGGCUCACCAAGCCAACGAUCUGUAGCUGGUCUGAGAGGACGACCAGCCACACUGGGACUGAGACACGGCCCAGACUCCUACGGGAGGCAGCAGUGGGGAAUUUUGGACAAUGGGCGAAAGCCUGAUCCAGCCAUGCCGCGUGCGGGAAGAAGGCCUUCGGGUUGUAAACCGCUUUUGUCAGGGAAGAAACGGUCUGCGCUAAUACCGCGGACUAAUGACGGUACCUGAAGAAUAAGCACCGGCUAACUACGUG
This 504-nucleotide ribosomal RNA is filed under the name uncultured bacterium. Its description in RNAcentral is "bacterial SSU rRNA". It matches the Rfam family "Bacterial small subunit ribosomal RNA", at positions 8 to 507 of the family's 1533-position model. The record is from RNAcentral.